This 77-nucleotide transfer RNA is filed under the name Candidatus Uhrbacteria bacterium RIFCSPLOWO2_02_FULL_51_9. RNAcentral describes it as "tRNA-Ile". It matches the Rfam family "tRNA". From Rfam's summary of the family: Transfer RNA (tRNA) molecules are approximately 80 nucleotides in length. Their secondary structure includes four short double-helical elements and three loops (D, anti-codon, and T loops). The record is from RNAcentral. Lineage: Bacteria; Candidatus Uhriibacteriota.
GGGCGCGUAGCUCAGUCGGUUAGAGCGCGUCACUGAUAAUGACGAGGUCCUUGGUCCGAUUCCAAGCGCGCCCACAA